Molecule: non-coding RNA, 964 nt
Organism: Cinara cedri
Lineage: Eukaryota; Metazoa; Arthropoda; Insecta; Hemiptera; Aphididae
Source: the annotation of a GenBank genome assembly
AUUUUUUUAAUAGUAUUGAAAUUGAAAUUGUUUCUAUGACUAAUUAUGCCUAAAACACUGCCCCUAAUUCAAAUUUCAAAUUUGUUCUCUAUGUAUUCCUUCAUCUAUUCAUAUUCAGGCGCGUUUUACUUUUUGAUUGUGAUUUUACCUUACAGUGUAUUUUUAAUUUGAAACUGUUCAUAGGAUACACAUAUCAUGUGCUCCAGACGGAGCAUUUAUUUAUUUAUACAUUUAUUUACAAGUAUUAACCAUUUAAUCAUUUUGUUUUCACUUUAUUAUUUUAUUAAUUAUAAUGAGACACAUAAUAUGAGAAUAAUAUGUUUUUAGAAAAUACAAUGCCGGGAAGGAUUGCAAUUUACUUGUGAAAUGUGAUGUUUGGAUCGCCGUGANUAAUAUUGCUGGUUAAGGUUAGGUUAUUUUAAAGACAUUACACAUACUUUCCUCUUACAUUGUUUAAUUAUUUAAGUACAUUUAAGUUGUUCAUUCCCAUACCUAAUUGGUGCCUUAAUCUUUCUCUUGGGUCUUUUCUUUAUUUCACUCCCAUUGAGCUCUGAUUUAUUUCCUUCAACCUCGCCAAAAAAAAGACACAAAGUAACAAUUUUAAAACACAAUAUAACUGCGGUGGCCAAACCGGAGAUCACCGAUGAUUUAAAUGUCAAUCUCUAUUUUGUUAUUUAGUAUGACGCAAAACAUCAUUUAGUUAAACUUUUUAGUUUUAUUAUUUUGUUUGUGUAUGUUUAUUAUUAAUACCUAUUAAGUUUAAUUGUUAAGUGUUAGGAAGUUGAUCCUUAAAGGAAAAAUAUAUUCUUAAUAGAUCUUUAAUAUAGAAGUUUGGCCACCCAUCUAAUAUAAAAUUAGGAUGUUUAGAUAAACAUAUGAUUGAGGCUAAUUUAGAAAUAGAGAACUCUUACCCUAGACACGAGGUACAGUUGAAAAUAUGAUACUAUUUAAGAUAAUAGAGGGU